AUAAUAUUCAACUGUCCUGAUUACUGUUGCUCAGUCAUCUUUGCAAUGGCGAGCUAUUCGUUUCUCAGAGUCGCUUGCAUCUUUAUUUUUGUCAUCACAUCUGGCUGUGCUGAUGAUGAGUCAUCUUGGAAAUCUUUUCCCAAAGAUUUUUUAUUUGGCACGGCUUCAUCUGCUUAUCAAAUAGAAGGAGGUUGGAAUGAAGACGGUAAGGGUGAGAGUGUUUGGGACACAUGGACACACGAACAUCCAAAUGUUAUACGUGAUAAUAGCAAUGGCGAUGUGGCUUGCGAUUCCUAUCACAAAUAUAAAGAAGACGUGCAAUUAUUAAAAGACAUGGGGGUUCAUUUUUAUCGGUUUUCUCUGAGUUGGCCACGUAUCUUACCAAAUGGUUACGCUAAUGUAAUUAAUCAAGAGGGACUCGAUUAUUAUAAAAAUGUUAUUAAUGAAUUAUUGGCCAAUGAUAUCGAACCAUUUGUUACUUUGUAUCACUGGGAUCACCCAACCAUCUUUGAAAGCAUGGGUGGAUGGACCAAUGAAAAAAUGGUUGAAUGGAUAUCUGAUUACGCAAGAGUCGUUUUCAAAGAACUCGGUCCCAAAGUUAAAUAUUUUAUGACUCUGAAUGAACCGGCUGUUGUUUGUGAUGAAGCGUAUUUUUCUGACACACACGCACCAGGAAAGAAAUUAGGUUUUCCUGGUAAAUAUCUAUGCAUGCACAACAUGUUGAAGGCGCAUGCCAAGAUUUAUCAUAUCUACGACACAGAAUUUCGAAAACAGCAGAAAGGCCAAAUCGGCAUAGUUCCAUCUUGUACAAUGGGAUUUGCCAAAAAUAGUUUUGACACCGCAGCAGAAGAUUUAUUUUUUCAAUUUAAUUGCGGAUGGGUUGCCCAUCCUAUUUUUUCAAAGACUGGUGAUUAUCCAGCAGUUAUGAAAACCCAAAUAGCUGAGAAUAGUAAAAUUGAUGGUUUUCCGAGAUCUAUUUUGCCAGAAUUUUCGCCAGAAUGGGUGGAGUAUAUUAAAGGUACAUCAGACUUCUUUGCAUUGAAUCAUUAUACUUCGAAACUUGUGGAAACAGUGCCGCGACAACAAGGACAACCGUGGUAUGAUUAUUCUGGCGUGAAAGUGACCAUAGAUCCGUCAUGGCCAAAAAGCGCUUCGGAUUGGCUCAGAGUUGUACCUAUUGGGUUUCGAGAGAUUAUCAAGAAGAUUUCAAGCGAAUAUGAUUAUCCAACUAUCUUUAUUACGGAGAAUGGUUACUCUGAUUAUUGCUGUACUUUUGAUUUUUUAAGAGUAUCUUAUUUGCAUUCUUAUAUGAAGGAAAUGUUAAUCGCCAUUAAGGAAAAUGGAUGUAAAGUAAAAGGUUAUGCUGCAUGGAGUCUGGUAGACAAUUUUGAAUGGCAGCGUGGUUACACAGAACGGUUUGGAUUAAUACACGUCGAUUUUACGGAUCCUAAUCGAACGAGAACUCCAAAAUGGUCAAUGUAUUGGUAUAAAAAUGUUAUUCAGAAUGGGAAACUUCUUGAUGAUCCAAUACAAGAGCAUAUAUGCACAACACAAAUCGUAUAAUUUGUUUGAAUCAGAUCUAAAUAAAUUUGUCAUAUAGUAUUAAAGGGACCAAAAAAUUCGGCUGCAGAAACUAUAAGAGAAACUAUUCUGAUUACAGUUAUUUGACGAAAAUUUUUCGUCGACAGUGUUAAUUAUACGUUACAAUAUUUUUAUUUGUCCAUCUCUGACAAAAGAAGCCGCUAUUGUUAAGAUUCAAUAAAAAAUUACUAUGUCUUAAAUCUAAAAUCUAAAUUAUAUAAAAUAGAUUAUGUAUAUGCUAAUGGAGGCUGAAUAUAUAAUAUGUAUAUAGAAACGAUAGAAAUGUCAGAAGCAAUAUUAUUUUUUGUAAUAUACGUGUGGAAUAUUCCGAUCUAUGAUUGGUCAGAUUAUAAAGAGCAUCAGAGCAACCAUAUAGCGAUCACUCCAAUCGAGAAAUAAACGAAAUACAAGUUUUCAAAAAGGA
This is an RNA transcript of Solenopsis invicta (red fire ant), 2005 nucleotides long. It is a transcript of the gene named myrosinase 1, with no coding region annotated. NCBI's taxonomy places the organism in Eukaryota, Metazoa, Arthropoda, Insecta, Hymenoptera, Formicidae. The transcript is spliced from 8 exons. The record is from RefSeq and is a predicted model, not a curated record.